AACGAACGCUGGCGGCAUGCCUAACACAUGCAAGUCGAACGAAGCCUUCGGGCUUAGUGGCGCACGGGUGCGUAACGUGUGGGAAUCUGCCCCUUGCUUCGGAAUAACAGUUAGAAAUGACUGCUAAUACCGGAUGAAGUCUUCGGACCAAAGAUUUAUCGGCAAGGGAUGAGCCCGCGUAGGAUUAGGUAGUUGGUGGGGUAAAGGCCUACCAAGCCGACGAUCCUUAGCUGGUCUGAGAGGAUGAUCAGCCACACUGGGACUGAGACACGGCCCAGACUCCUACGGGAGGCAGCAGUGGGGAAUAUUGGACAAUGGACGCAAGUCUGAUCCAGCAAUGCCGCGUGAGUGAUGAAGGCCUUAGGGUUGUAAAGCUCUUUUACCAGGGAUGAUAAUGACAGUACCUGGAGAAUAAGCUCCGGCUAACUCCGUG
This 433-nucleotide ribosomal RNA is filed under the name uncultured bacterium. RNAcentral describes it as "partial 16S ribosomal RNA". It matches the Rfam family "Bacterial small subunit ribosomal RNA", at positions 29 to 507 of the family's 1533-position model. The record is from RNAcentral.